UACAGAGGGGGCAAGCGUUAUUCGGAAUUCUUGGGCGUAAAGGGCGCGUAGGCGGCUUUUCAAGUGACGGGUGAAAGCCCUCGGCUUAACCGAGGAACUGCCUGUCAGACUGGAAGGCUUGAGACCGGGAGAGGUGAGUGGAAUUCCCAGUGUAGCGGUGAAAUGCGUAGAUAUUGGGAGGAACACCAGUGGCGAAGGCGGCUCACUGGACCGGAACUGACGCUGAGGCGCGAAAGCGUGGGGAGCAAACAGG
This 253-nucleotide ribosomal RNA is filed under the name uncultured bacterium. RNAcentral describes it as "partial 16S ribosomal RNA". It matches the Rfam family "Bacterial small subunit ribosomal RNA", at positions 524 to 776 of the family's 1533-position model. The record is from RNAcentral.